This 492-nucleotide ribosomal RNA is filed under the name uncultured bacterium. RNAcentral's name for it is "partial 16S ribosomal RNA". It matches the Rfam family "Bacterial small subunit ribosomal RNA", at positions 29 to 507 of the family's 1533-position model. The record is from RNAcentral.
AGUGAACGCUGGCGGUAGGCCUAACACAUGCAAGUCGAACGGCAGCACAGUAAGAGCUUGCUCUUACGGGUGGCGAGUGGCGGACGGGUGAGGAAUACAUCGGAAUCUACUUUUUCGUGGGGGAUAACGUAGGGAAACUUACGCUAAUACCGCAUACGACCUACGGGUGAAAGCAGGGGAUCUUCGGACCUUGCGCGAUUGAAUGAGCCGAUGUCGGAUUAGCUAGUUGGCGGGGUAAAGGCCCACCAAGGCGACGAUCCGUAGCUGGUCUGAGAGGAUGAUCAGCCACACUGGAACUGAGAAACGGUCCAGACUCCUACGGGAGGCAGCAGUGGGGAAUAUUGGACAAGGGGCGCAAGCCUGAUCCAGCCAUACCGCGUGGGUGAAGAAGGCCUUCGGGUUGUAAAGCCCUUUUGUUGGGAAAGAAAAGCAGCAGGUUAAUACCCCGCUGUUCUGACGGUACCCAAAGAAUAAGCACCGGCUAACUUCGUG